This 2890-nucleotide ribosomal RNA is filed under the name Vibrio parahaemolyticus. RNAcentral describes it as "23S ribosomal RNA". It matches the Rfam family "Bacterial large subunit ribosomal RNA". Lineage: Bacteria; Pseudomonadati; Pseudomonadota; Gammaproteobacteria; Vibrionales; Vibrionaceae. The record is from RNAcentral.
GGUUAAGUGACUAAGCGUACACGGUGGAUGCCUUGGCAGUCAGAGGCGAUGAAAGACGUAGUAACUUGCGAUAAGCCCAGAUUAGGUAGUAACAACCAUUUGAGUCUGGGAUUUCUGAAUGGGGAAACCCACGUGCAUAAGCACGUAUCCUUACCUGAAUACAUAGGGUAAGGAGGCGAACCGGGGGAACUGAAACAUCUAAGUACCCCGAGGAAAAGAAAUCAACCGAGAUUCCGAAAGUAGCGGCGAGCGAAAUUGGACUAGCCCUUAAGCUUUACACGCGUUAGACGAACGGUCUGGAAAGUCCGACGAUACAGGGUGAUAGUCCCGUAGUUGACGACGUGUGUUCAGUGAAAUCGAGUAGGGCGGGACACGUGAUAUCCUGUCUGAAUAUGGGGGGACCAUCCUCCAAGGCUAAAUACUACUGACUGACCGAUAGUGAACCAGUACCGUGAGGGAAAGGCGAAAAGAACCCCUGUGAGGGGAGUGAAAUAGAACCUGAAACCGUGUACGUACAAGCAGUAGGAGCAGGCUUUGUCCUGUGACUGCGUACCUUUUGUAUAAUGGGUCAGCGACUUAUAUUCAGUGGCAAGGUUAACCAUCUAGGGGAGCCGUAGGGAAACCGAGUCUUAACUGGGCGUUCAGUCUCUGGAUAUAGACCCGAAACCAGGUGAUCUAGCCAUGGGCAGGUUGAAGGUUGAGUAACAUCAACUGGAGGACCGAACCGACUAAUGUUGAAAAAUUAGCGGAUGACUUGUGGCUAGGGGUGAAAGGCCAAUCAAACCUGGAGAUAGCUGGUUCUCCCCGAAAGCUAUUUAGGUAGCGCCUCGGACGAAUACUACUGGGGGUAGAGCACUGUUAAGGCUAGGGGGUCAUCCCGACUUACCAACCCUUUGCAAACUCCGAAUACCAGUAAGUACUAUCCGGGAGACACACGGCGGGUGCUAACGUCCGUCGUGGAGAGGGAAACAACCCAGACCGCCAGCUAAGGUCCCAAAUUACUACUAAGUGGGAAACGAUGUGGGAAGGCUCAGACAGCCAGGAUGUUGGCUUAGAAGCAGCCAUCAUUUAAAGAAAGCGUAAUAGCUCACUGGUCGAGUCGGCCUGCGCGGAAGAUGUAACGGGGCUAAGUAGUAAACCGAAGCUGCGGCAAUACUCUUUGAGUAUUGGGUAGGGGAGCGUUCUGUAAGCGGUUGAAGGUGUGUGGUAACGCAUGCUGGACGUAUCAGAAGUGCGAAUGCUGACAUGAGUAACGAUAAAGGGGGUGAAAAACCUCCUCGCCGGAAGACCAAGGGUUCCUGUCCAACGUUAAUCGGGGCAGGGUAAGUCGACCCCUAAGGCGAGGCCGAAAGGCGUAGUCGAUGGGAAACGGGUUAAUAUUCCCGUACUUCUUACAAUUGCGAUGGGGGGACGGAGAAGGCUAGGUGGGCCUGGCGACGGUUGUCCAGGUUCAAGUGCGUAGGCUUAAGAGUUAGGUAAAUCCGGCUCUUUUUAAGGCUGAGACACGACGUCGAGCACCUACGGGUGUGAAGUCAUUGAUGCCAUGCUUCCAGGAAAAGCCUCUAAGCUUCAGAUUGUAAGGAAUCGUACCCCAAACCGACACAGGUGGUCGGGUAGAGAAUACCAAGGCGCUUGAGAGAACUCGGGUGAAGGAACUAGGCAAAAUGGUACCGUAACUUCGGGAGAAGGUACGCUCUUGAUGGUGAAGUCCCUUGCGGAUGGAGCUGACGAGAGUCGCAGAUACCAGGUGGCUGCAACUGUUUAUUAAAAACACAGCACUGUGCAAAAUCGUAAGAUGACGUAUACGGUGUGACGCCUGCCCGGUGCCGGAAGGUUAAUUGAUGGGGUUAGACUUCGGUCGAAGCUCUUGAUCGAAGCCCCGGUAAACGGCGGCCGUAACUAUAACGGUCCUAAGGUAGCGAAAUUCCUUGUCGGGUAAGUUCCGACCUGCACGAAUGGCGUAAUGAUGGCCACGCUGUCUCCACCCGAGACUCAGUGAAAUUGAAAUCGCUGUGAAGAUGCAGUGUACCCGCGGCUAGACGGAAAGACCCCGUGAACCUUUACUACAGCUUGGCACUGAACAUUGACCCUACAUGUGUAGGAUAGGUGGGAGGCUUUGAAGCACGUACGCCAGUAUGUGUGGAGCCGUCCUUGAAAUACCACCCUUGUAGUGUUGAUGUUCUAACGUCGACCCCUAAUCGGGGUUACGGACAGUGCCUGGUGGGUAGUUUGACUGGGGCGGUCUCCUCCCAAAGAGUAACGGAGGAGCACGAAGGUGGGCUAAUCACGGUUGGACAUCGUGAGGUUAGUGCAAUGGCAUAAGCCCGCUUGACUGCGAGAAUGACAAUUCGAGCAGGUGCGAAAGCAGGUCAUAGUGAUCCGGUGGUUCUGAAUGGAAGGGCCAUCGCUCAACGGAUAAAAGGUACUCCGGGGAUAACAGGCUGAUACCGCCCAAGAGUUCAUAUCGACGGCGGUGUUUGGCACCUCGAUGUCGGCUCAUCACAUCCUGGGGCUGAAGUCGGUCCCAAGGGUAUGGCUGUUCGCCAUUUAAAGUGGUACGCGAGCUGGGUUUAGAACGUCGUGAGACAGUUCGGUCCCUAUCUGCCGUGGGCGUUGGAAGAUUGAAGGGGGCUGCUCCUAGUACGAGAGGACCGGAGUGGACGAACCUCUGGUGUUCGGGUUGUGUCGCCAGACGCAUUGCCCGGUAGCUAAGUUCGGAAUCGAUAACCGCUGAAAGCAUCUAAGCGGGAAGCGAGCCCUGAGAUGAGUCUUCCCUGAUACUUUAAGUAUCCUAAAGGGUUGUCGGAGACUACGACGUUGAUAGGUCAGGUGUGUAAGUGCUGUGAGGCAUUGAGCUAACUGAUACUAAUUGCCCGUGAGGCUUAACCAU